This is a non-coding RNA of Oncorhynchus mykiss (rainbow trout), 1176 nucleotides long. Lineage: Eukaryota; Metazoa; Chordata; Actinopteri; Salmoniformes; Salmonidae. The record is from RefSeq and is a predicted model, not a curated record.
CCAUGAUUUUGGAAUGAGAUGUUUGACAAGCAGGUGUCCACAUACACUACAUAACCACAAGCUAUGGGUCAGUGAUGCAGAUGUACCCAGGAGGAGGCCCUGAGAAGGCGGGGGUAGAGAGCUUUGGCUUCCACGAUAUGCUCCAUGAGCUUCCCAUCUGUCAUGUCAACGCACUGCUGGCAGGGACACUGGACACGGAGGCUAAAGACAUAGACAUGCUGGACAGGCCAAUGGAGACAAGUCCAACCUGACCCAGAGAAAGCAGAAGGCAAUGGGGGCAGCCCAGACACAGAGGACCAGAGCAUGGAGACUAGUACCAGUACAGACCCUGCCGAGGACAAGGAGAGGGAGAAACGGAGAGAGAUCAACACAUAGUGAAGCAGCAAGUUGUCUCUGUUAUUUGUCACACUUCCUGGUGCUUGUGUGCUCCAAAGAUUUCAACGGUGUACAAUUGAAGAGCAACUGUGUGUUGCGUUUCAGGCCCAGGAGAAGAUGGAGAAGAGGAAGAAACUGCUGCUGCAGGCGUGCCGGAGGGUAGGAACGCUGUCGGGUUGGUGAUAGCCAGUCGGUUCAACCCCUGUCCAGUUCUACUGGGCCUCAUCAAGUUCCUCGCCCCCUCCAGACCCUUUGCAGUGUACUCUCAAUAUAAAGAGGUGUUGCCUAACAGGACCACCCUGUGCUGCUGAUGAGUGGGGGCGGGGCUUGCCUCCUCUCCGGGAUGACCGUUACUACAGAUACAACUAAAGACAGGCUCAACUACAGCAGAAGAGCCGGCCACAAAGAGACGAACUCAGAGACCACAGAGGGAUGACACUAUUGAGGGGUGCCCAGAGUUUGUCUAAUUUAAAUCAUUGAUGACUUGAUUUACAUGUACUUGUGGAGGUGGGGAUAGAAUCACUGAAGUGUCUCUCCCUCCUGCUACCAGUUAUAAACGAUCAUGGUUGUUAUUCAGCCCUGGAGCUGCUCUCCAAAGCUCUAAGCUCCCAAAUGUAGCAUUUUGUUUGUAUUUUAUACUCUUUUAGCAGAAAGUGCCGUGAUGUAAAGCAGCCAUUUGCUAUCACAGCCUCCUUACUGUGCUGCAUUAGUGGGAAUUUCAAGAAAUACAGUACUGUUAAAAUACUAUUACUCUUGAUAACCAACUGUGUUGCUGAGGUAUUAAAAUCCUGAGAUACGUGU